CAUGCGGCGCAUUAGCUAGUCGGGGGGGUAACGGCCCACCGAGGCUACGAUGCGUAGGGGUUCUGAGAGGAAGGUCCCCCACACUGGUACUGAGACACGGACCAGACUCCUACGGGAGGCAGCAGUGAGGAAUAUUGGUCAAUGGGCGGAAGCCUGAACCAGCCAAGUCGCGUGAGGGAAGACGGUCCUAUGGAUUGUAAACCUCUUUUGCAGGGGAGCAAGGCGCGGUACGUGUACCGCGAAGGAGAGUACCCUGAGAAAAAGCAUCGGCUAACUCCGUGCCAGCAGCCGCGGUAAUACGGAGGAUGCGAGCGUUAUCCGGAUUUAUUGGGUUUAAAGGGUGCGCAGGCGGACUGUUAAGUCAGCGGUAAAAUGUCGGUGCUCAACACCGGCCGGCCGUUGAAACUGGCAGCCUUGAGUGAGCGAGAAGUAUGCGGAAUGCGUGGUGUAGCGGUGAAAUGCAUAGAUAUCACGCAGAACUCCGAUUGCGAAGGCAGCAUACCGGCGCUCAACUGACGCUCAGGCACGAAAGCGUGGGUAUCGAACAGGCUUAGAUACCCUGGUAGUCCACGCAGUAAACGAUGAAUGCUCACUGUCCGGGCCGUUUAAGGCCUGG
This 616-nucleotide ribosomal RNA is filed under the name uncultured bacterium. Its description in RNAcentral is "bacterial SSU rRNA". It matches the Rfam family "Bacterial small subunit ribosomal RNA", at positions 230 to 842 of the family's 1533-position model. The record is from RNAcentral.